AGUGAACGCUGGCGGUAGGCCUAACACAUGCAAGUCGAACGGCAGCACAGUAAGAGCUUGCUCUUACGGGUGGCGAGUGGCGGACGGGUGAUGAAUACAUCGGAAUCUACUUUUUCGUGGGUGAUAACGUAGGGAAACUUACGCUAAUACCGCAUACGACCUACGGGUGAAAUCAGGGGAUCUUCGGACCUUGCGCGAUUGAAUGAGCCGAUGUCGGAUUAGCUAGUUGGCGGGGUAAAGGCCCACCAAGGCGACGAUCCGUAGCUGGUCUGAGAGGAUGAUCAGCCACACUGGAACUGAGACACGGUCCAGACUCCUACGGGAGGCAGCAGUGGGGAAUAUUGGACAAUGGGCGAAAGCCUGAUCCAGCCAUGCCGCGUGGGUGAAGAAGGCCUUCGGGUUGUAAAGCCCUUUUGUUGGGAAAGAAAAGCAGCAGGUUAAUACCCCGCUGUUCUGACGGUACCCAAAGAAUAAGCACCGGCUAACUUCGUG
This 492-nucleotide ribosomal RNA is filed under the name uncultured bacterium. RNAcentral describes it as "partial 16S ribosomal RNA". It matches the Rfam family "Bacterial small subunit ribosomal RNA", at positions 29 to 507 of the family's 1533-position model. The record is from RNAcentral.